GCCAAACAGCUAGCCUCACCACCAAAUUAAAUUAACAACAUAAAUAACAAAAUACAACUCAACACAAAUUAAACAAACCAUUCUCAUUAUCUUAGUAUGGGAGACAAAAAAGAUACAAGUAGAGCAAUAGAAAAAGUACCGCAAGGGAAAGCUGAAAAAGAAAUGAAAUAACUCAUACAAGCAUAAUAAAACAAGGAUAAAGUCCUGUACCUUUUGCAUCAUGAUUUAGCAAGCACCCCUAAGCAAAGAGAACUUUAGUUUACAACCCCGAAACCAGGUGAGCUACCCCGAGACAGCCUAAAUACAUAGGGCCAACCCGUCUCUGUGGCAAAAGAGUGGGAAGAGCUCCGGGUAGAAGUGACAGACCUAUCGAACCUGGUUAUAGCUGGUUGCCCGGAAAAUGAAUAAGAGUUCAGCCUAGUACACUCCUUACUUAACACCACAAAAAUAAAGGAAUAUAUACCAGAGUUAGUCAAGAGGGGUACAGCCCCCUUGACAAAGGACACAACCUUAACAGGAGGAUAAAGAUCAUAAUACACAAAAACAAACUGUACUGGUGGGCCUGAAAGCAGCCACCCUAUUAGAAAGCGUUAAAGCUCAGACAAAAUAAAAACUAACUAUAUCGAUAAAUUAUCUUACUCCCCUAAAUGUACCGAGCCAUUCCAUGCCAACAUGGAAGAGAUAAUGCUAAAAUAAGUAACAAGAAGAACACGACUUUCUCCUAGCACAAGUGUAAGUCAGACCGGACCAACCACUGACAAUUAAGCGAUCCCAACAAAAGAGGGCCGUGUGGAUUACAAAAAAACCAAGAAAACUCCAGAGAGACACUACUCCAUCGUUACCCCCACACUGGAGUGCAUAAUAGGAAAGACUAAAAGAAAAGGAAGGAACUCGGCAAACAUAAGCCUCGCCUGUUUACCAAAAACAUCGCCUCCUGCAACCAAGCUCAAGUAUAGGAGGUCCAGCCUGCCCAGUGACUAUAGGUUAAACGGCCGCGGUAUCCUGACCGUGCAAAGGUAGCGUAAUCACUCGUCCUUUAAAUGGGGUCAAGUAUGAAUGGCUAAACGAGGGCUUGACUGUCUCCCCUUUCCAGUCAGUGAAAUUGAUCUAUCCGUGCAGAAGCGGGUAUAACAAUACAAGACGAGAAGACCCUUUGGAGCUUUAGGUACAAAGCUUAGCUACGUUAAAAAAAUCAAUAAAAAUUUAAACCCAGUGGAAAUUAAGACUUUACCUUCGGUUGGGGCGACCACGGAGAAAAAAGAAACCUCCAAGUGGAUUGGGGUUAUCCCUAAAACUAAGAAUCACACCUCUAAGUCUCAGAACUUCUGACCAAACAUGAUCCGGCCACAAAACCGAUCAACGAAACAAGUUACCCUAGGGAUAACAGCGCAAUCCUCUCCCAGAGCCCAUAUCGACGAGGGGGUUUACGACCUCGAUGUUGGAUCAGGACAUCCUAAUGGUGCAGCCGCUAUUAAGGGUUCGUUUGUUCAACGAUUAAAGUCCUACGUGAUCUGAGUUCAGACCGGAGUAAUCCAGGUCAGUUUCUAUCUGUAAAGCUACUUCUUCCCAGUACGAAAGGACAGGAAAAAGGAAGCCCAUACCAAAAGUACGCUCCACCCCAAAUUAAUGAACAAAAAUAAAUCAAGCAAUGGAAAGCAUAGACCUAAAAUCCAAGACAAGGGUU
This 1684-nucleotide ribosomal RNA is filed under the name Luciosoma setigerum. RNAcentral's name for it is "16S rRNA". The stretch from base 98 to 1571 matches the Rfam family "Bacterial large subunit ribosomal RNA". Lineage: Eukaryota; Metazoa; Chordata; Actinopteri; Cypriniformes; Danionidae. The record is from RNAcentral.